GACGAACGCUGGCGGCGUGCCUAAUACAUGCAAGUUGAGCGCUGAAGGUUGGUACUUGUACCAACUGGAUGAGCAGCGAACGGGUGAGUAACGCGUGGGGAAUCUGCCUUUGAGCGGGGGACAACAUUUGGAAACGAAUGCUAAUACCGCAUAAAAACUUUAAACACAAGUUUUAAGUUUGAAAGAUGCAAUUGCAUCACUCAAAGAUGAUCCCGCGUUGUAUUAGCUAGUUGGUGAGGUAAAGGCUCACCAAGGCGAUGAUACAUAGCCGACCUGAGAGGGUGGUCGGCCACAUUGGGACUGAGACACGGCCCAAACUCCUACGGGAGGGAGCAGGAGGGAAUCUUCGGCAAUGGACGAAAGUCUGACCGAGCAACGCCGCGGGAGUGAAGAAGGGUGUCGGAUCGUAAAACUCUGUUGGUAGAGAAGAACGUUGGUGAGAGUGGAAAGCUCAUCAAGUGACGGUAACUACCCAGAAAGGGACGGCUAACUACGUG
This 497-nucleotide ribosomal RNA is filed under the name uncultured bacterium. Its description in RNAcentral is "partial 16S ribosomal RNA". It matches the Rfam family "Bacterial small subunit ribosomal RNA", at positions 28 to 507 of the family's 1533-position model. The record is from RNAcentral.